This 253-nucleotide ribosomal RNA is filed under the name uncultured bacterium. RNAcentral's name for it is "partial 16S ribosomal RNA". It matches the Rfam family "Bacterial small subunit ribosomal RNA", at positions 524 to 776 of the family's 1533-position model. The record is from RNAcentral.
UACGUAGGGGGCAAGCGUUGUUCGGAGUUACUGGGCGUAAAGGGUGCGUAGGCGGCUUCUUAAGUCUGGUGUGAAAUCUCCCGGCUCAACUGGGAGGGUGCGCCGGAUACUGAGGGGCUAGAGUGUGGGAGAGGAAAGUGGAAUUCCAGGUGUAGCGGUGAAAUGCGUAGAUAUCUGGAGGAACACCGGUGGUGUAAACGGCUUUCUGGACCAUUACUGACGCUGAUGCACGAAAGCGUGGGUAGCAAACAGG